Molecule: ribosomal RNA, 484 nt
Filed under: uncultured bacterium
Lineage: Bacteria
Description: partial 16S ribosomal RNA
Rfam family: Bacterial small subunit ribosomal RNA
Source: RNAcentral
GGGGGGGGGGGGGGGGGGGGGGGGGGGGGGGGGGGGGGGGGGGGGAGGGGGGGGUGCGCCUGGAGUGAGGGGCGGAGGGGUGGGUGAUGCCUGGGAGUCUGCCGGGUAGUGGGGGAUAACGUCCGGAAACGGGCGCUAGUACCGCCUGCGUCCUGAGGGGGGAAGUGGGGGAUCUUCGGACCUCACGCUAUCAGAUGAGCCUAGGUCGGAUUAGCUAGUUGGUGGGGUAAAGGCCUACAAAGGCGACGAUCCGUAACUGGUCUGAGAGGAUGAUCAGUCACACUGGAACUGAGACACGGUCCAGACUCCUACGGGAGGCAGCAGUGGGGAAUAUUGGACAAUGGGCGAAAGCCUGAUCCAGCCAUGCCGCGUGUGUGAAGAAGGUCUUCGGAUUGUAAAGCACUUUAAGUUGGGAGGAAGGGCAGUAAGUUAAUACCUUGCUGUUUUGACGUUACCAACAGAAUAAGCACCGGCUAACUUCGUG